UCGUGGUUAGCUCAGUCGGUAGUGUGUUCCACUGGAAGUGAAGAGGUCCCUGGUUCGAUACCAGGACCAGGCG
Molecule: transfer RNA, 73 nt
Filed under: Ixodes scapularis (black-legged tick)
Lineage: Eukaryota; Metazoa; Arthropoda; Arachnida; Ixodida; Ixodidae
Rfam family: tRNA
About the family: Transfer RNA (tRNA) molecules are approximately 80 nucleotides in length. Their secondary structure includes four short double-helical elements and three loops (D, anti-codon, and T loops). Further hydrogen bonds mediate the characteristic L-shaped molecular structure. tRNAs have two regions of fundamental functional importance: the anti-codon, which is responsible for specific mRNA codon recognition, and the 3' end, to which the tRNAs corresponding amino acid is attached (by aminoacyl-tRNA synthetases). tRNAs cope with the degeneracy of the genetic code in two manners: having more than one tRNA (with a specific anti-codon) for a particular amino acid; and 'wobble' base-pairing, i.e. permitting non-standard base-pairing at the 3rd anti-codon position.
Source: Rfam by way of RNAcentral